This 523-nucleotide ribosomal RNA is filed under the name Entomobrya sp. NM07232_2. RNAcentral describes it as "partial 16S ribosomal RNA". It matches the Rfam family "Bacterial large subunit ribosomal RNA", at positions 1796 to 2620 of the family's 2925-position model. The record is from RNAcentral. Lineage: Eukaryota; Metazoa; Arthropoda; Collembola; Entomobryomorpha; Entomobryidae.
UCGACUGUUUUACAAAAACAUUUCUUUUAGAGUUAAAUUAAAAGUAAAACCUGCCCACUGAUAAUUUAAAGGGCCGCGGUAUUAUGACCGUGCUAAGGUAGCAUAAUCAUUAGUCUCUUAAUUAGGGAAUAGUAUGAAUGGUAAAACACAUAAAAAUUUUAUUUUUUGAAUGAUCUGAAGUUUAAUUUAAAGUGAAAAUGCUUUAGUUAAUUUAAAAGACGAUAAGACCCUUUAGAGCUUAGAACCUAAAAUUAACGUGGGUUUUGGGGGGAGCUCAUGUUAAUUUUAGGUUCUUAGUUGGGGCAAUUUUAGAAUAAAUAAAACUUCUAAUAAAAUUAAUAUCUUUUGUUAAAAAAAUUUAAAAAGUUACCUAAGGGAUAACAGCGUUAUAAUCUUUAAGAGUUCGUAUCGACAAGAUUGUUUGCGACCUCGAUGUUGAAUUAAAAAUUCUAAAUAGGGCAGUUUUUAUUUAAGAAAGUCUGUUCGACUAUGAAAAUUUUACAUGAUUUGAGUUCAGACCGGA